Molecule: long non-coding RNA, 272 nt
Organism: Alligator sinensis (Chinese alligator)
Lineage: Eukaryota; Metazoa; Chordata; Crocodylia; Alligatoridae
Exons: 3
Source: RefSeq, a predicted model, not a curated record
UGUCACUUGGGACUGGACACUUCAGAAAGAUAAGAAAGCAGCUGUUGUUUUGGUGGACAACUCCCUGUCACUGCAGGAUGUAUAUAGCUGCUGCAGCAGAAGCGCCUACAGAUGUACCAGGUUUCUAGUGUCCAUUGCAAGCUGAAAGAGCCCACCAUGAAUAUUUUCCAUUCCAGAAGUGAAAUAUAUGCCAACUUGAACAAGUCUCCAAGGAAUAUAAAUUGAGUUUGGUAUAUUAUUUCCAUUUGUUCAAUUAUUGAAAAAAGAAAAUC